Long non-coding RNA from Pipistrellus kuhlii (Kuhl's pipistrelle), 195 nucleotides. RefSeq lists it as uncharacterized. The transcript is spliced from 2 exons. The record is from RefSeq and is a predicted model, not a curated record. Lineage: Eukaryota; Metazoa; Chordata; Mammalia; Chiroptera; Vespertilionidae.
CACAGAGGCCGGUCACCUGUGGCAAGGUUCUGCACGACGCCGGCCGCCGCGGUGUGGAAGAUGAUGUCCGCGCCCUCGUUCAGUGGGGCUGAGACGGAUCAGACGAGCUCCUAAUUCAAUCUGACGCGCACGUAUUGUGGGCAGGGCCCCCGUGCCAGGGCUGUGCUGGUUGGUGUGAAUGAGUGUAAGAAGAGG